RNAcentral lists this ribosomal RNA (443 nucleotides) under uncultured bacterium. RNAcentral's name for it is "partial 16S ribosomal RNA". It matches the Rfam family "Bacterial small subunit ribosomal RNA", at positions 338 to 795 of the family's 1533-position model. The record is from RNAcentral.
CCUACGGGGGGCAGCAGUGGGGAAUAUUGGGCAAUGGGCGCAAGCCUGACCCAGCAACGCCGCGUGAAGGAAGAAGGCUUUCGGGUUGUAAACUUCUUUUAUCAGGGACGAAGCAAGUGACGGUACCUGAUGAUUAAGCCACGGCUAACUACGUGCCAGCAGCCGCGGUAAUACGUAGGUGGCAAGCGUUAUCCGGAUUUACUGGGUGUAAAGGGCGUGUAGGCGGGAGUGCAAGUCAGAUGUGAAAACUAUGGGCUCAACCCCGGACCUGCAUUUGAAACUGUUGGGCUUGAGUAUCGGAGAGGCAGGCGGAAUUCCUAGUGUAGCGGUGAAAUGCGUAGAUAUUAGGAGGAACACCAGUGGCGAAGGCGGCCUGCUGGACGACAACUGACGGUGAGGCGCGAAAGCGUGGGGAGCAAACAGGAUUAGAUACCCCAGUAGUC